Molecule: ribosomal RNA, 374 nt
Filed under: uncultured eukaryote
Lineage: Eukaryota
Description: partial 18S ribosomal RNA
Rfam family: Eukaryotic small subunit ribosomal RNA
Source: RNAcentral
CAAUAGCGUAUAUUUAAGUUGUUGCAGUUAAAAAGCUCGUAGUUGGAUUUCUGCUGAUCGCUGUCGGUCUGCCGUCAGGUGUGUACUGGCAGUGUUUGGCAUCUAUUCGAGAUUGGGUGUCCACUUGAUUGUGUGCACUCGAUGUCGGAGCUAAUACUUUGAGAAAAUUAGAGUGUUCCACGCAGGCGCGUGCCUUGAAUACUGCAGCAUGGGAUAUUGGAAGGCCGAUUGAGCUUUCUUGUUGGUUCUCGGUUUGAUCGGAAUGAUUAAUAGGGAUAGUUGGGGGCAUUCGUAUUCAACUGUCAGAGGUGAAAUUCUUGGAUUUGUUGAAGGCGGACUACUGCGAAAGCAUCUGCCAUGGAUGUUCUCAUUGA